Non-coding RNA from Ictidomys tridecemlineatus (thirteen-lined ground squirrel), 73 nucleotides. Lineage: Eukaryota; Metazoa; Chordata; Mammalia; Rodentia; Sciuridae. The record is from Rfam.
GCCCGGCUAGCUCAGUUGGUAGAGCAUGAGACUCUUAAUCUCAGCUUUGUGGGUUCGAGCCCCACGUUGGGCG